GAUGAAGAACGUAGUGAAAUGCGAUAAGUAAUGUGAAUUGCAGAAUUCAGUGAAUCAUCGAAUCUUUGAACGCACAUUGCGCCCGCCAGUAUUCUGGCGGGCAUGCCUGUUCGAGCGUCAUUUCAACCAUCAAGCCCCCGGCUUGUGUUGGGGACCUGCGGCUGCCGCAGGCCCUGAAAUGCAGUGGCGGGCUCGCUGUCACUCCGAGCGUAGUAGUUACAUCUCGCUCUGGGCGUGCUGCGGGUUCCGGCCGUUAAAAGCCUUAUUUACCCAAGGUUGACCUCGGAUCAGGUAGGAAGACCCGCUGAACUUAAGCAUAUCAAUAAGCGGAGGA
This 334-nucleotide unclassified non-coding RNA is filed under the name soil metagenome. RNAcentral describes it as "partial contains 5.8S ribosomal RNA, internal transcribed spacer 2, and large subunit ribosomal RNA". The stretch from base 1 to 120 matches the Rfam family "5.8S ribosomal RNA", at positions 35 to 154 of the family's 154-position model. The record is from RNAcentral.